GCACUGUUGAAGGGUCCCAGGAUAGGACGAAACUGCCGUCCAGUAC
Molecule: non-coding RNA, 46 nt
Filed under: Schistosoma curassoni
Lineage: Eukaryota; Metazoa; Platyhelminthes; Trematoda; Strigeidida; Schistosomatidae
Source: RNAcentral